This is a long non-coding RNA of Heterocephalus glaber (naked mole-rat), 2475 nucleotides long. Lineage: Eukaryota; Metazoa; Chordata; Mammalia; Rodentia; Bathyergidae. The record is from Ensembl.
GUCUGCUCGUCGUCCCCGUGCUCGGCGCGCUCGGCCCUCCUCCCCCGCCCCAGCUCCGGUCCCUGACGGACCGGGCGGCCGAGCACGUGCAAGGGUGGCCUUCCCGCCCCUGCGCCGGGCUGCCCGGAGCCCGCGACCCCCGCCCGCCGGCCCGGUCAGCUGACCCGGCUCGCCCGCCGCUCCCCGCCCGCCGCCGCGUUUCCGGUCCCCCGGGUCCGGGACUCGCGCUCCGAGAGGAGCGGCGGCGGCCGGGAGGUGAGGCUGGGGGCUGAUUAUCAUGAGAAAGGCUGUGCCCGCCAAAGCCUCCUCCACGCGACUGUCAGCCUCCCUCAGGUGGGGAGGGGGGCGGAAGGGGCCCAGUCGGAGUCACCCGAAAACUUGGAGUAAGUUGGAGGCGACGCAGGCCCGAGGAGGUGGCUUUCGCCUCAACUUGGAAGGCUGGGGCGGUGCCGGUGCGGACGCCAGCAGCCUCGCCUGGGAAUUGAAAACCAAAAAUCUCCCUCCUUCCCCUUCCUCCCUCUUGUCCUGCUUUCAGCCCUCCCUGCCCUUUAUCCGUAUUUUCUUGACAUCCUUUCCCAGUUGCAUUUCCUACAUUUUCUUCUUUCUGUAUCUCUUUUGCAAUCUCUUGUCUUCUUUCUUAACGUCCUCUGCUCUCCUUCGUAGUGAUUCUUUCUGUGGCUCCUUUAUGUGUCCAGAUUUAUCAUUUUGUUUUGAAAACACGAUGUUUAAUAUGCAAUUAAUCUACCAGCAGGAGGGCAAGGACACCCUGACUAAAAUAACUCCCUGGAUCUCUGAGACUCCAAGUUCACCAGGUGUCAGUGAAAAGUCAAAUAGUAAUAAUACAAAUAAAUCAAUAUCUCCGGGAUCGUAAUGGCCUAUUAUUCUAAAUUACUGUAUCAGCUCAGACUGAUAAUUUUUUACAGGUAAUAUUUCUGGGAAAAAUGAAUAAUACUUGGCAUAAGGAGAUACUUUAGAACUAAGGCAAUGUGCACGUUUUUCUUAUUUGUAGUGAUAGACUAAUACUAUUGAGCAAACCUUAGAAAUUAAAACAGGUAAUUUUAAGAAACUCAAUUGUGCUUUUUCUUUUACUGAUUAUUUGGAAAAUGGAAAAAACUGCCAAAGCAUUCCCUCUACCCUUCACGGAAGAUUCAGAUAAAACAUCACAUUGUGCGUUUGUACACUGCUAAGCAAAGUCACACCUUCAGUAGUUGGGUAGUUUGCUUGGCUACCUUACAGUCCUUUACCUAGCAGGUGAUGUGCUGAAACAUCUGCUUUGAAAAAGUAAAGAACAACAACAAUGACGACAAAGAUGAGACUAUUUACAUAGCACAGACACUGCUUCUCUCUCUGGCCUGCAAAUUUGGGAGUAGGGUUGUGUCAGCAGACCCUGGCACAGUCUACUGUGUAUGUGACUUUUCUACCCCAUGCCCUAGAAAGGAGAGAGUCAGGGGAGGACUGGGCUGUGGACACAGGGAGCAUAUUGUUCCAUUGGUUCUGCUACACUGCAAACCAAGCUUCUUUCUCUCUCUCUGGAACUAACUUUGCUACACAUGCAAAAAAAUCUAUUCCUAUUAGGUUUUUCCCUGGCCAUUGUGGCACCAUAAGUAUAGCUCCUGUUGCACAGGGGUAAUUUUCCUGGGUUGGGAGAAGUUGGCUUACCUAUUGUUCUUGGCAUGCACUAGCACCCCUCUAGACAAGAGGGACAGAAGAAAGCUGAAAGUUCACAGAGAAUACUUGGCCAUUUAAAACAAGUAAGAAGAAGUAAAACUCCAUUUAUUUAAUGCAUAAUUUAUUUAUCUGCUAAGUAUUUGGACAUUCAGUGUGCUUUCUGACAUACAUUCUUAUUUACUGUAAAUUUAUAAGAUAUUUAAGAAUUACUUCUAAUAGUUUUUCCAUAGCAAUUCCAUAAAGAUGAUCUAUAUUGAAGUUUUACUUCUACUGGGGAGCAUUCUUGGAUGUGCAGGUUUAGAUGAAAUAUGCUCUGAAGUGUGUUUGAAAUCACAAUGGACUUUGAAUUUGGAACUAUGUACUGUCAUACUUUUAUUAUAUUAAGGCAAAUCAUCAUCACCUGGAAAUAUUUAAAUUAUUGGUUCAUGUAGGAUCUCCAAAUACCAAAUAGUAAUUUAUUUGGGGGAAGUGAUUUAUUACUGACGUAUCUUUCACAAGCCCCUGGAGUACUGCCUAUUAUAUAAUAAAUAUUUGUUGUUGUUUGGGAUCUUUCAUUCAUUAAGAAGCUUUGGAGGGAUAUAAACUGAUGUCCUAUUUCAAAUUUAUAUCUGGAGAUAAGAGUGAGGACUGACAGGGGUAGCUGGCAAAGACUGGGAAUAUAGACCUGAACAACCUCCACUUUACAGAGUUAUUAACUCAGUUACGUUAUUUAACACAAACUUUUUGCUGUCCUUCCUCUGUGUCACUUUUGCGCACAGCCUAAAGAAAAAAACCCACACUGAAGGAGCAAAUGCAGAAUUAUGUGCA